UAGGGAGUGGUGUAAGAGGAAACACGGAGGGUUUUGAUCUCUCAAAUAUAGGUUCGAGUCCUAUUUUUCUAG
Molecule: transfer RNA, 72 nt
Filed under: Hemitriakis japanica (Japanese topeshark)
Lineage: Eukaryota; Metazoa; Chordata; Chondrichthyes; Carcharhiniformes; Triakidae
Description: tRNA-Gln
Rfam family: tRNA
About the family: Transfer RNA (tRNA) molecules are approximately 80 nucleotides in length. Their secondary structure includes four short double-helical elements and three loops (D, anti-codon, and T loops).
Source: RNAcentral